AUUCUAACAUUUAUACAGCACUCUCACACCCAUCACUCUCACAGACAGCACUCUCACACACAGCACACUCUCACACACAGCACUCUCUAACACACAGCACUCUCUAACACACAGCACUCUCUCACAGCACUCUCUCUCACACAGCACUCUCUCUCACACAGCACUCUCUCUCACACAGCACUCUCUCUCACACAGCACUCUCUCUCACACAGCACUCUCUCUCACAGCACUCUCUCACACGGCACUCUCACACACGGCACUCUCACA
Non-coding RNA from Pelobates cultripes (western spadefoot toad), 267 nucleotides. Lineage: Eukaryota; Metazoa; Chordata; Amphibia; Anura; Pelobatidae. The record is from the annotation of a GenBank genome assembly.